RNAcentral lists this transfer RNA (54 nucleotides) under Quadristernoseta cf. longigynium XFX-2019. RNAcentral describes it as "tRNA-Ser". Lineage: Eukaryota; Metazoa; Arthropoda; Arachnida; Mesostigmata; Diplogyniidae. The record is from RNAcentral.
AAGAUUAUAAAAAUAGAGCUGCUAACUCUAUAAUAAUGUUCACAUUUAAUCUUU